UCCCUGGUGAUCCAGGGGCUAAGACUCCACGCUUCCACUGCAGGAGGCACAGGUUCGAUUCCUGUUCAGGGAA
Bos taurus (domestic cattle) is the source of this 73-nucleotide non-coding RNA. The record is from Rfam. Lineage: Eukaryota; Metazoa; Chordata; Mammalia; Artiodactyla; Bovidae.